RNAcentral lists this ribosomal RNA (497 nucleotides) under uncultured bacterium. RNAcentral describes it as "partial 16S ribosomal RNA". It matches the Rfam family "Bacterial small subunit ribosomal RNA", at positions 28 to 507 of the family's 1533-position model. The record is from RNAcentral.
GAUGAACGCUGGCGGCGUGCCUAAUACAUGCAAGUCGAGCGAACAGAUGAGGAGCUUGCUCCUCUGACGUUAGCGGCGGACGGGUGAGUAACACGUGGAUAACCUACCUAUAAGACUGGGAUAACUUCGGGAAGCCGGAGCUAAUACCGGAUAAUAUAUUGAACCGCAUGGUUCAAUAGUGAAAGACGGUUUUGCUGUCACUUAUAGAUGGAUCCGCGCCGCAUUAGCUAGUUGGUAAGGUAACGGCUUACCAAGGCAACGAUGCGUAGCCGACCUGAGAGGGUGAUCGGCCACACUGGAACUGAGACACGGUCCAGACUCCUACGGGAGGCAGCAGUAGGGAAUCUUCCGCAAUGGGCGAAAGCCUGACGGAGCAACGCCGCGUGAGUGAUGAAGGUCUUCGGAUCGUAAAACUCUGUUAUUAGGGAAGAACAAAUGUGUAAGUAACGAUGCACGUCUUGACGGUACCUAAUCAGAAAGCCACGGCUAACUACGUG